CCGGAAGUGUUCGGAAAGAGGAAGUUGAGAGUUGUGAGUCAGAGACAAGAAAUUGGUGUGAAGACAGAGAUACACUCAGAGAAACAAGGCAUGAACAAAUUAGAGUAAGUAUGGUGAAGUGGAAAAAAGGACAGAGGUAAAAAACAAACAACGGAUGAAACUGAACUGGAAAACACAACAAAAAGGCAACAAGUGAAGAGGAAAGGAGAAGGCUGAACGUUGCGACAGAUGACAGAGUCGGAUAUGAGAAAACGCCGUGUCGGCACUCUUCUGGUCCUCAUGCUGAUACAGACAGGCAUGACAGACAGUGGGAUUUCUGUAUCUCACAAAUGGCAUGGAGAUUACCUAUCUAUCACCUGUCGUCUCAUGGGGGACAAAGACACUGUUUCUCAGAUCAACUGGGAGAUGACCAGCAGUUCGAACCACACCACCACCAGAUUGAAACUGGGCAUCUUCCACCCCGUGUUUGGUACCUACGUGUUCCCGAAGUACAACGAUACUGUGGAGAUCCAGGGUAACGCCUCCAGCGGCCAUUACACGCUCAGGCUGAAAGGUAGCACUGUGUUGGAGGAGAAUCAGUUCUGCUGUAAAUUCAUGACCUUUCCCUCUGGAGGACUGGAGCAGUGUACAAAUACCAGGAUUAAUGAAAGCACAGGAGGCGAUUGUUCGAGGUGGAGACUUAUCUGACAGACCAGCACACAGACUCGGAGGAGGUCACAGAGGAGCCACCCCAUCAACCCCCCCUUCCCUCACCUCCUCCCCUCCAGCUCCAGGGUUUUGACCCCUCUAAGCUGUACACUAAGAUCAAGCAGGAUCUGCUGUAUGGACGACUGUGGAAGGCCUACCAGGGGACAGCUAAGGCCUGGGACCCCACAACACAGCAGGGACCACACCAGCAAGGGCCACAACAAGGGGCAGAACUAGGGCCACAAAAGGUCUAUUUUCUUCUGGGGGAUCAUCGGGUGUCACAGAGAGAGGAACCAGAAGAACCAGAACUAGAACCUAAUCUAGAACAAGAACAAGACCCUCAACCAACCCUUGAAGGAACCGUGGAACCACAGACUGAGCCUGAACCUAUCCAUCCAUUAGCCCUGGAACCUGGAACACAGAUGGAGGUUCAAGAACCAGAAUGUAAUUUAGAACUAGAACCCAACUUCCCAUCAACCCUUUCUGCACGGAGGGGGGAACUGGAAUCAGACAUAGGAACAGAGAAAGAGGAAAUUGAAGAAACCAGAGACUAACCCUUCAGCGAGGAGGUUCAUGAAGGGAAGGUGUGUUGUGUUGUUGUGUGUGUGUGCGGGCCGUGCGUGUGUGCGUGUGUACGUGUGUGUUGGGAGGAAUAAUGCACUGUUGACAUUGGGUGAAUAACCCUGACCUCCUAAGGUUAGCUGUCAAUCAAUACGAUUAAUAAUUAUUGCCCCAGUGGGAAAUUUGUAGUGAAAAUUAAACUCACAGGUAAUCGCCAUGGUUUUUUGUUUACUGUGAACAUCGUACAUGUGGUUAGACGUCUCGGCCAUCACUCAGACGUUUCUCUCUCUCACACACACACACACACACACAGACAGACAGACAGACAGACAGACAGACAGACAGACAGACAGACAGACAGACAGACAGACAGACAGACAGACAGACAGACAGACAGACAGACAGACAGACAGACAGACAGACAGACAGACAGACAGACAGACAGACAGACAGACAGACACCACACACACACUGGUCAAUGGGGUUUGAAGUCUCGGCCAUCGCUCAGAUGUUUCUCACAUUUGAGCUCACAACAGUGUGGCAUACAGUAACUGUAUGAUGUGCGGUGUGAAUAGAACAUUAUGCUUUUGAAUAUAGUAAUGGGUUGAAUGACCUUUAGAUUCUAAAAAAGAGCUUUUAUAGCCAACUUUAUAGCCAACACUGUAAGGAACAAGACAGUGAGUGAUUUUUAUUUUGUGUAUCUGGUUUUGUGAUUGCAAUUUCUGUAUAUAAUGUUUAUUUCUUUGUUUCAAUUAAAAAUCAGACUAGCAAAA
Oncorhynchus tshawytscha (Chinook salmon) is the source of this 2021-nucleotide long non-coding RNA. Lineage: Eukaryota; Metazoa; Chordata; Actinopteri; Salmoniformes; Salmonidae. The record is from Ensembl.